Molecule: non-coding RNA, 819 nt
Organism: Schizosaccharomyces pombe (fission yeast)
Lineage: Eukaryota; Fungi; Ascomycota; Schizosaccharomycetes; Schizosaccharomycetales; Schizosaccharomycetaceae
Source: the annotation of a GenBank genome assembly
UUCAUGGGAACUCUGUAUAACAGUCAUUAUUUAUUUAUUUUAGUACUAAACUUUUAUAUUUUUUUUUAUAAUUACCCCUAUUUCCAAACUUACUUUGAAAUCGAAUGGUCUUACCAGAGAAAGGAUUAAUAAUUGCUUCUUUAUUAAAAACACUAGAUGGAAGAAAUUGCUAUCGACAUAAGACGUAUAAUUAUAUUAAAAAGCUGCCAAACAUUGAAGAGUCGACAUCAAGAAACUUUUGUUUUUCAAGAAGGAUAGGCAUAAAGAGAUGCCCUUUAUAAAUCUUCUUCGUCAAAGUUCACGGAUUUGUAAGCUAUUUGUUUAAAAACUACGAACACGAAAAUCUUCUAUUUUUUUUGAAACCUCUGCAAUUGUUCUAUCGAGUUCAUUGGCAAUCAUCUCCUGAACUGGAUGAGGUAACGAAUAGUACAUCUCGCAGAGAUCACCAUCUAUAACACAUUUGACUGGAGCGUAAUAACUACGAUAAGCAAGAUGAUCCCUUCCAGCCAAAGGAGGACAUUCUUUUCGCAACAAAAAUUCCAGUUGUUGAAAAAAUCGAACAUCUUCCUGGUUAAUAAAAGGGGUAAAUACUCCAACAGUACCCAGAAGACCGGUCCAUAACAAAACUUCUCGAGCUCCUUCAACCAAUUGGACCUUUUGAAGCGAAGUAGGAAUAUCAUUUGUAAAGAAAUGAGCCAUUAGGUCCAAUUUGUGAGGUGUGGAAUUUAAAAAGGGCUUUUCGUGAAUUAAUUUAGAUUCAGAAUUCUCUUCAUCAGCUAGUUUAGAAACAUGUUCGGGGCAGCGUAAAAGCCAAAUAUU